GAAUGCUGACAUAAGUAACGAUAAAGCGGGUGAAAAGCCCGCUCGCCGGAAGACCAAGGGUUCCUGUCCAACGUUAAUCGGGGCAGGGUGAGUCGACCCCUAAGGCGAGGCCGAAAGGCGUAGUCGAUGGGAAACGGGUUAAUAUUCCCGUACUUGGUGUUACUGCGAAGGGGGGACGGAGAAGGCUAUGUUGGCCGGGCGACGGUUGUCCCGGUUUAAGCGUGUAGGUGUGUGUUCCAGGUAAAUCCGGUUCACUUUAAC
Molecule: ribosomal RNA, 261 nt
Filed under: Salmonella enterica subsp. enterica serovar Infantis
Lineage: Bacteria; Pseudomonadati; Pseudomonadota; Gammaproteobacteria; Enterobacterales; Enterobacteriaceae
Also listed under: 8 other names
Description: partial 23S ribosomal RNA
Rfam family: Bacterial large subunit ribosomal RNA
Source: RNAcentral